CCUCUAAAACCAAUGUCGCUGCAGAGUAUUGACAGUACUCCAGGGACUGAGUACUGCCUCGUUUUACCUGCUUGUACAUCUUACUACUGCAGUACUCCACAGGGAGAUCAGGGCCAGGAGGGGCCCCCAGGACCCUUUGAGUAUGUGGACCCCCCAGAGGACCGGUACAUCAAAGGGGAUCAGGUGAGGCUCUGGUUGGUUUUGGUUUGUGUACAGAUGUACAAAUAUUAAAGGGAAUUAUCUGUGAUGAAUGGAAAGGAAAUGAAACCAAGAACCAAAAACACUCUUUGUCCAUCCGGAUCUGUAGAAAGGAUCUGGUGGUGUUGCAUUCACUGACAUCGGUUGACCGCAGUUGGUCGUCUGUGUGAGUCGCUCCUCGCUGAUGGUCCAGUCUUGUGUUUUCAGGGACCUCCUGGGGUCAAAGGAGCAGCUGGAGUGCAGGGAGCACCGGUAAGAAGGGAGUUUCUGCUCAUGGAGAUGUGUUUGCAGAAGUAAAGACGAUCCGGGUUUUUCUGGUUUCAGGGCCUGGACGCCCGUCCUGGGGUCAAAGGAGAGAAAGGCAUUGUGGGAUUUCCUGGUCUCAGAGGUGUAAUGGGUCGACCUGGUCCAGAGGGGGCGAGAGGUAUCAAGGGACAAAAAGGGGAGCAAGGUCUGCCAGGCCUGUUUGGACAGGACGGGUCAAAGGUCGGUCUGUGGCUUUGAACUUGGUUCUGGUUCUGGAUGGGCUCCUGAACAGUUUGACACCGACCCAGAUUCUGAAGAUGCUUUUGUAAUGACAACAUAAAAACAGUUUUUCUGUCUCCGCUCAGGGCAUGAAGGGAGAUCAGGGCCUGAAGGGGCUCCCUCAGUCCAGGGACGUCACACUCGUUGGGAAGUCCGGGGACCCUGGGGCUCCUGGGUUUCCAGGUCCUCCAGGAAACAUGGGGCAUAUGGGGUUUCACGGUCCACCAGGACCCCGAGGUGCAUCAGUGCCGGGACCAAGAGGCGUUCCUGGGAUCAAAGGGUCUCAGGGGUAUAAAGGGGACAAAGGAGAUCCAGGUCAAAUGAUCACACAGGGAAAAACUCCAGGAGAACCUGGGAAACCAGGAUUUCCUGGAUACAAGGGGCUAAAGGGAGAACCAGGAAUUCCAGGAAGUUACUGUCUUCCUGGGAUACCAGGACUGCCAGGGAAUCCGGGUGUUCAGGGGCCCCCUGGGUUCUCAGGCCCCUCUGGAUUUAGAGGUUUGUUUGGAAGCGUCCAGUUUUUAUAA
RNAcentral lists this long non-coding RNA (1250 nucleotides) under Oryzias javanicus (javanese ricefish). Its description in RNAcentral is "lncRNA (ENSOJAG00000008919.1)". The record is from RNAcentral. Lineage: Eukaryota; Metazoa; Chordata; Actinopteri; Beloniformes; Adrianichthyidae.